AACGAACGCUGGCGGCAUGCUUAACACAUGCAAGUCGAACGCCCCGCAAGGGGAGUGGCUGACGGGUGCGUAACGCGUGGGAAUCUACCCAUCCCUACGGAAUAACGCAUGGAAACGUGUGCUAAUACCGUAUACGCCCUACGGGGGAAAGAUUUAUCGGGGAUGGAUGAGCCCGCGUUGGAUUAGCUAGUUGGUGGGGUAAAGGCGUACCAAGGCGACGAUCCAUAGCUGGUCUGAGAGGAUGAUCAGCCACAUUGGGACUGAGCCACGGCCCAACCUCCUACGGGAGGCAGCAGUGGGGAAUAUUGGACAAUGGGCGCAAGCCUGAUCCAGCCAUGCCGCGUGAGUGAUGAAGGCCUUAGGGUUGUAAAGCUCUUUCACCGGAGAAGAUAAUGACGGUAGCCGGAGAAGAAGCCCCGGCUAACUUCGUG
RNAcentral lists this ribosomal RNA (431 nucleotides) under uncultured bacterium. Its description in RNAcentral is "partial 16S ribosomal RNA". It matches the Rfam family "Bacterial small subunit ribosomal RNA", at positions 29 to 507 of the family's 1533-position model. The record is from RNAcentral.